GUUGAACGCUGGCGGCAGGCCUAACACAUGCAAGUCGAGCGAAUGAAGGGAGCUUGCUCCUGGAUUCAGCGGCGGACGGGUGAGUAAUGCCUAGGAAUCUGCCUGGUAGUGGGGGAUAACGUCCGGAAACGGGCGCUAAUACCGCAUACGUCCUGAGGGAGAAAGUGGGGGAUCUUCGGACCUCACGCUAUCAGAUGAGCCUAGGUCGGAUUAGCUAGUUGGUGGGGUAAAGGCCUACCAAGGCGACGAUCCGUAACUGGUCUGAGAGGAUGAUCAGUCACACUGGAACUGAGACACGGUCCAGACUCCUACGGGAGGCAGCAGUGGGGAAUAUUGGACAAUGGGCGAAAGCCUGAUCCAGCCAUGCCGCGUGUGUGAAGAAGGUCUUCGGAUUGUAAAGCACUUUAAGUUGGGAGGAAGGGCAGUAAGUUAAUACCUUGCUGUUUUGACGUUACCAACAGAAUAAGCACCGGCUAACUUCGUU
Molecule: ribosomal RNA, 484 nt
Filed under: uncultured bacterium
Lineage: Bacteria
Description: partial 16S ribosomal RNA
Rfam family: Bacterial small subunit ribosomal RNA
Source: RNAcentral